This 480-nucleotide ribosomal RNA is filed under the name uncultured bacterium. RNAcentral describes it as "partial 16S ribosomal RNA". It matches the Rfam family "Bacterial small subunit ribosomal RNA", at positions 28 to 507 of the family's 1533-position model. The record is from RNAcentral.
GAUGAACGCUAGCGGCAGGCCUAACACAUGCAAGUCGAGGGGUAGAAGGAGCUUGCUCCUUUGAGACCGGCGCACGGGUGCGUAACGCGUAUGCAAUCUACCUUGUACAGGGGAAUAGCCCAGAGAAAUUUGGAUUAAUGCCCCAUAGUAUAUAACCUUCGCAUGUUGGUUAUAUUAAAGUUCCAACGGUACAAGAUGAGCAUGCGUCCCAUUAGUUAGUUGGUAAGGUAACGGCUUACCAAGACGAUGAUGGGUAGGGGUCCUGAGAGGGAGAUCCCCCGCACUGGUACUGAGACACGGACCAGAAUCCUACGGGAGGCAGCAGUGAGGAAGAUUAGUGAAUGAUCGCAAGACUGAACCAGCCAUGCCGCGUGCAGGAAGACGGUCCUAUGGAUGGUAAUCUGCUUUUAUACAAGAAGAAACCCUCCCACGUGUGGGAGCUUGACGGUACUGUAGGAAUAAGGAUCGGCUAACUCCGUG